This 617-nucleotide long non-coding RNA is filed under the name Musa acuminata (dwarf banana). Its description in RNAcentral is "long non-coding RNA (MACU_LNC006379)". The record is from RNAcentral. Lineage: Eukaryota; Viridiplantae; Streptophyta; Magnoliopsida; Zingiberales; Musaceae.
AACUCCUAAUAGUAGACGUACUUAUACAAGAAUCAUAAAAGAAUUUCCUUAAAAAUAAAUCCAGAUUUCAGAACAGAAGACCACAGCUAUCCCCCCUUUACUAUGUGAAUUCUUCUUAAAAAUGAACGAGAUCAGGAAAUGUUGUUUGCAUAUUCAUUAAAGUAGGUGCAGAAACGAAAUUGCAACAUUAUAAGCAUUUCAAUAGCGUAAAUGUGUAUAGUAGUCAGUGAAUUCCCCCAAGUUCAUGUAUUUCUCUGGCAACAUCUCCAUAGACUAAUGCAUACUGAUAAUAUUCCAGCACUUCUGAGGAGCUAAGCAAGGGAUAAUGAUAACGAGGAAACCUUGAGAACUAGGGUGGAUUCAUGAAACGUCAAGUUCUAGACGAAUUAAUUCUUUUCAAGGUACAUUUAGUUUCAAAUGGAAGCAUUGACACAAAAAAAGUAAAGUUAACCGAUAUUAUGACAUAGCUGAAGAAGGGAGAGUCGGAAUGGAGUUACCUAACAAUGUUACUGUGCUGCAUUUCCUUCAGGAGAGAUAUCUCUCGGAUGGCGGUGCUCGGGACCCCCUCAUCCUCUUGCUCCAACCGGAUCUUCUUCAGAGCUAUUGUCUCGUUGGUG